AAUUUUUGACAAUGGGCGUAAGCCUGAUCCAGCAAUGCCGCGUGCAGGAUGAAGGNCUNNGGGUUNUNAACUGCUUUUGUACGNNNNNAAAAGCCUUGGGUUAAUACCCUGGGUUAAUGACGGUACCGUAUGACUAAGCCCCGGCUACUUACGUGCCAGCAGCCGCGGUAAUACGAAGGGUGCAAGCGUUAAUCGGAAGUACUGGGCGUAAAGCGUGCGCAGGCGGUUUUGUAAGUCAGUGGUGAAAUCCCCGGGCUCAACCAGGGAAGUGACAUUGUGACUGAAAGGCUGGAGUGCGGCAGAGGGGGAUGGAAUGCCGCGUGUAGCAGUGAAAUGCGUAGAUAUGCAGAGGAACACCGAUGGCGAAGGCAAUCCCCUGGGCCUGCACUGACGCUCAUGCACGAAAGCGUGGGGAGCAAACAGG
RNAcentral lists this ribosomal RNA (424 nucleotides) under uncultured bacterium. Its description in RNAcentral is "partial 16S ribosomal RNA". It matches the Rfam family "Bacterial small subunit ribosomal RNA", at positions 360 to 776 of the family's 1533-position model. The record is from RNAcentral.